UUUGCCCUAAAAGUUUAGAUAUAAAUUGAUUGACUUAAUUUAAUUUUCUUACCAAAUUUGAACUUAAUAAUAAUUUUUAAUUGCAUGUGUUAGCACAUUAAAUCUAAACAAGUCAUAUGUAAUAAAAGAUAUUUUAAGAUACAAUCCAUUAAAAUCAUUAUUUGUAUCUGUUGCACAUGAAACCUUCUCCAAUGAGCUGCUACUAAUCUUCAAUAUUCAAAAUUAAUUUAUUAAAA
This 236-nucleotide long non-coding RNA is filed under the name Gossypium barbadense (sea-island cotton). RNAcentral describes it as "long non-coding RNA (GBAR_LNC017777)". Lineage: Eukaryota; Viridiplantae; Streptophyta; Magnoliopsida; Malvales; Malvaceae. The record is from RNAcentral.